This 436-nucleotide ribosomal RNA is filed under the name uncultured bacterium. Its description in RNAcentral is "partial 16S ribosomal RNA". It matches the Rfam family "Bacterial small subunit ribosomal RNA", at positions 341 to 792 of the family's 1533-position model. The record is from RNAcentral.
ACGGGAGGCAGCAGUGGGGAAUAUUGGGCAAUGGGGGGAACCCUGACCCAGCAACGCCGCGUGGAGGAAGGAGGUCUUCGGAUCGUAAACUCCUGUCCUAAGAGACGAGAAGGAGACGGUAUCUUAGGAGGAAGCCCCGGCUAACUACGUGCCAGCAGCCGCGGUAAUACGUAGGGGGCGAGCGUUGUCCGGAAUGAUUGGGCGUAAAGGGCGCGUAGGCGGCCUGUUAAGUCAGAAGUGGAAGUCCUGCUUUCAAGGUGGGAAUUGCUUUUGAUACUGAUGGGCUUGAGUGCAGGAGAGGUUAGUGGAAUUCCCAGUGUAGCGGUGAAAUGCGUAGAGAUUGGGAGGAACACCAGUGGCGAAGGCGACUAACUAGACUGUAACUGACGCUGAGGCGCGAAAGUGUGGGGAGCAAACAGGAUUAGAUACCCUGGUA